CGAUGAAUUACGGGGGGACUCCUACGGGAGGCAGCAGCAGGGAAUCAUCCGCAAUGGGCGCAAGCCUGACGGAGCAACGCCGCGUGAGUGAAGAAGGGUUUCGACUCGUAAAGCUCUGUUGUCGGGGACGAAUGUGGAGACGGCAAAUAGCCAUUUCCAAUGACGGUACCUGACGAGGAAGCCACGGCUAACUACGUGCCAGCAGCCGCGGUAAAU
This 216-nucleotide ribosomal RNA is filed under the name uncultured bacterium. RNAcentral describes it as "partial 16S ribosomal RNA". It matches the Rfam family "Bacterial small subunit ribosomal RNA", at positions 317 to 525 of the family's 1533-position model. The record is from RNAcentral.